GUGCAGCAGACGAGAAUACUUUACAAUGUGCGAAAGCACGAUAAGGGAACUCUGAGUGCCUCCUAAGGAGGCUGUUCAGGUGUCUAAAAAGCACCUGGAGUAAGGGCUGGGUAAGACCGGUGCCAGCCGCCGCGGUAACACCGGCAGCCCAGGUGGUAGCCACUUUUAUUGGGUCUAAAGCGUCCGUAGCCGGUUGAGUAAGUUCCUUGGGAAAUUUGGCUGCUCAACAGUCAAGCUUCCAGGGAAUACUGCUCGACUUGGGGACUGGGGAGAGGUCAGAGGUACUCCAGGGGUAGGGUGAAAAUCCAUUAAUCCCUGGGGGACCACCGGUAGCGAAGGCGUCUGACCAGACCAGGUCCGACGGUGAGGGACGAAGGCUAGGGUCGCGAACCGGAUUAGAUA
This 402-nucleotide ribosomal RNA is filed under the name uncultured microorganism. RNAcentral describes it as "bacterial SSU rRNA". It matches the Rfam family "Archaeal small subunit ribosomal RNA", at positions 330 to 735 of the family's 1478-position model. The record is from RNAcentral.